Molecule: long non-coding RNA, 206 nt
Filed under: Olea europaea (common olive)
Lineage: Eukaryota; Viridiplantae; Streptophyta; Magnoliopsida; Lamiales; Oleaceae
Description: long non-coding RNA (OEUR_LNC001505)
Source: RNAcentral
CGAAAGAAAGAGAAAGCAUGAAAAUCCUCAACCGAAAAGUCUGAUGCAUGAAGUGUAACCUCAUUCUGAUCAACGUUUAAGGACUUUCAGUUUAACAGGUUUAUAUUUAGUAGUGCUUAUGCUAUAUGUUUUUUGUGCUUGUAUUUGUUUUAGUUUUUCAUCUCAUUUAUACUUUUGGUGCAUGUAUUUGUUUUAACUUUGAUCAC